This 467-nucleotide ribosomal RNA is filed under the name Pseudomonas aeruginosa. RNAcentral describes it as "bacterial SSU rRNA". It matches the Rfam family "Bacterial small subunit ribosomal RNA", at positions 140 to 603 of the family's 1533-position model. The record is from RNAcentral. Lineage: Bacteria; Pseudomonadati; Pseudomonadota; Gammaproteobacteria; Pseudomonadales; Pseudomonadaceae.
GGGGGAACGUCCGGAACGGGCGCUAAUACCGCAUACGUCCUGAGGGAGAAAGUGGGGGAUCUUCGGACCUCACGCUAUCAGAUGAGCCUAGGUCGGAUUAGCUAGUUGGUGGGGUAAAGGCCUACCAAGGCGACGAUCCGUAACUGGUCUGAGAGGAUGAUCAGUCACACUGGAACUGAGACACGGUCCAGACUCCUACGGGAGGCAGCAGUGGGGAAUAUUGGACAAUGGGCGAAAGCCUGAUCCAGCCAUGCCGCGUGUGUGAAGAAGGUCUUCGGAUUGUAAAGCACUUUAAGUUGGGAGGAAGGGCAGUAAGUUAAUACCUUGCUGUUUUGACGUUACCAACAGAAUAAGCACCGGCUAACUUCGUGCCAGCAGCCGCGGUAAUACGAAGGGUGCAAGCGUUAAUCGGAAUUACUGGGCGUAAAGCGCGCGUAGGUGGUUCAGCAAGUUGGAUGUGAAAUCCC